RNAcentral lists this ribosomal RNA (497 nucleotides) under uncultured bacterium. RNAcentral's name for it is "partial 16S ribosomal RNA". It matches the Rfam family "Bacterial small subunit ribosomal RNA", at positions 28 to 507 of the family's 1533-position model. The record is from RNAcentral.
GAUGAACGCUGGCGGCGUGCCUAAUACAUGCAAGUCGAGCGAACAGACCAGGAGCUUGCUCCUCUGACGUUAUCGGCGGACGGGUGAUUAACACAUGGUUAACCUACCUAUAAGACUGGGAUAACGUCGGGAAACCGUAUCUAAUACCGGAUAAUAUAUUGAACCGCAUUGUUCAAUAGUUGAAUACGGUUUUUCUUUGACUUAUAGAUUGAUCCGCGCCGCAUUAGCUAGUUGGUAAGGUAACUGCUUACCAAGGCAAGGAUGCGUAGCCGCCCUGAGAGGGAGAUCGCACACACUGGAACUGAGAAACGGCACAGACUCCUAGGGGAGGACACAGUCGGGAAUCUUACGCAAUGGGCGAGAGGCUGACGGAGCAACGCCGCGUGAGUGCUGAAGGUGUUAGGCUCGUAAAACGAUGUAAUUCGGGAAGAACAAAUGCGUAAGUAACUAUGAACGUAUUGACGGUACCUAAUGAGAAAGCUCCGGCUAACUCCGUG